Molecule: ribosomal RNA, 287 nt
Filed under: uncultured bacterium
Lineage: Bacteria
Description: partial 16S ribosomal RNA
Rfam family: Bacterial small subunit ribosomal RNA
Source: RNAcentral
CUUCCCUACGGGACGCAGCAGUGGGGGAUAUUGGACAAUGGGGGGAACCCUGAUCCAGCGACGCCGCGUGAAGGAAGAAGGAUCUCGGGAUGUAAACUUCUUUUAUUCGGGACGAAACAAAUGACGGUACCUAAUGAAUAAGCCACGGCUAACUACGUGCCAGCAGCCGCGGUAAUACGUAGGUGGCAAGCGUUAUCCGGAUUUACUGGGUGUAAAGGGCGUGUAGGCGGGUGUGCAAGUCAGACGUGAAAUUCGAGGGCUCAACCCUGGAACUGCGCUGGAAACUG